AUUGAACGCUGGCGGCAUGCCUUACACAUGCAAGUCGAACGGCAGCACGGGUGCUUGCACCUGGUGGCGAGUGGCAAACGGGUGAGUAAUACAUCGGAACGUACCUUAUCGUGGGGGAUAACGCAGCGAAAGCUGUGCUAAUACCGCAUACGCCCUGAGGGGGAAAGCGGGGGAUCGCAAGACCUCGCGCGAUUAGAGCGGCCGAUGCCUGAUUAGCUUGUUGGUGUGGUAAAAGCCCACCAAGGCGACGAUCAGUAGCUGGUCUGAGAGGACGAUCAGCCACACUGGAACUGGGACACGGCCCAGACUCCUACGGGAGGCAGCAGUGGGGAAUUUUGGACAAUGGGGGCAACCCUGAUCCAGCAAUGCCGCGUGAGUGAAGAAGGCCUUCGGGUUGUAAAGCUCUUUUGUCAGGGAAGAAACACCGGCUCUAACACAGUCCGGGAAUGACGGUACCUGAAGAAUAAGCACCGGCUAACUACGUGCCAGCCGCCGCGGUAA
This 501-nucleotide ribosomal RNA is filed under the name uncultured bacterium. RNAcentral describes it as "partial 16S ribosomal RNA". It matches the Rfam family "Bacterial small subunit ribosomal RNA", at positions 30 to 523 of the family's 1533-position model. The record is from RNAcentral.